This 103-nucleotide small nuclear RNA is filed under the name Leptinotarsa decemlineata (Colorado potato beetle). Lineage: Eukaryota; Metazoa; Arthropoda; Insecta; Coleoptera; Chrysomelidae. The record is from RNAcentral.
AUGCUUCGGCGGUACAUAUACUAAAAUUGGAACGACACAGAGAAGAUUAGCAUGGCCCCUGCGCAAGGAUGACACGCAAAAUCGUGAAGCGUUCCACAUUUUU